Molecule: ribosomal RNA, 406 nt
Filed under: uncultured bacterium
Lineage: Bacteria
Description: partial 16S ribosomal RNA
Rfam family: Bacterial small subunit ribosomal RNA
Source: RNAcentral
AUUGAACGCUGGCGGCAGGCCUAACACAUGCAAGUCGAGCGAGCGGCGGACGGGUGAGUAAUGUCUGGGGAACUGCCAGAUAGAGGGGGAUAACUACUGGAAACGGUAGCUAAUACCGCAUACUAUCGGAUGUGCCCAUAUGGGAUUAGCUAGUAGGUGGGGUAAAGGCUCACCUAGGGGACGAUCCCUAGCUGGUCUGAGAGGAUGACCAGCCACACGGGAACUGAGACACGGCCCAGACUCCUACGGGAGGCAGCAGUGGGGAAUAUUGCACAAUGGGCGCAAGCCUGAUGCAGCCAUGCCGCGUGUAUGAAGAAGGCCUUAGGGUUGUAAAGCACUUUCAGCGGGGAGGCGUUACCCGCAGAAGAAGCACCGGCUAACUCCGUGCCAGCCGCCGCGGUAAUAC